UGGCUCAAACGAACGCUGGCGGCAGGCCUAACACAUGCAAGUCGAGCGCCCCGCAAGGGGAGCGGCAGACGGGAGAGUAACACGUGGGAACGUGCCCUUCAGUUCGGAACAACCCAGGGAAACUUGGGCUGAUACCGGAUACGUCCGUAAGGAGAAAGAUUUAUCGCUGAAGGAUCGGCCCGCGUCUGAUUAGCUAGUUGGUGGGGUAACGGCCCACCAAGGCGAGCGAUCAGUAGCUGGUCUGAGAGGAUGAUCAGCCUCACUGGGACUGAGACACGGCCCAGAGACCUACGGGAGGCAGC
RNAcentral lists this ribosomal RNA (302 nucleotides) under uncultured Hyphomicrobiales bacterium. RNAcentral's name for it is "bacterial SSU rRNA". It matches the Rfam family "Bacterial small subunit ribosomal RNA", at positions 20 to 352 of the family's 1533-position model. Lineage: Bacteria; Pseudomonadati; Pseudomonadota; Alphaproteobacteria; Hyphomicrobiales. The record is from RNAcentral.